Molecule: transfer RNA, 90 nt
Filed under: Thermoproteus sp. JCHS_4
Lineage: Archaea; Thermoproteati; Thermoproteota; Thermoprotei; Thermoproteales; Thermoproteaceae
Also listed under: 1 other name
Description: tRNA-Val
Rfam family: tRNA
About the family: Transfer RNA (tRNA) molecules are approximately 80 nucleotides in length. Their secondary structure includes four short double-helical elements and three loops (D, anti-codon, and T loops).
Source: RNAcentral
GGGCCCGUAGUCUAGCGGUAGGAUUGAAAGCAAUUCCCUAAGGCCCGCCUCACGCGCGGGAGAUCCCGGGUUCAAAUCCCGGCGGGCCCA